CGUGAGACAGUUCGGUCUCUAUCUAUCGUGGGCGCAGGAGUUUUGCGUGGAUCUGGCACUAGUACGAGAGGACCGUGCUGGACAGACCUCCGGUUUACCGGUUGUGCCGCCAGGUGCACCGCCGGGUAUCCGCGUCUGGAUCGGAUAAGCGCUGAAAGCAUCUAAGCGCGAAGCCGGCCGCAAGAUUAGAACUCCCUUGAGGGUCGUCGUAGACUACGACGUAGAUAGGAGGCAGGUGUAAAGACGGUGACGUCAAAGCCGAGCCUUACUAAUUGCCCGAGACUUUCCGCCGU
RNAcentral lists this ribosomal RNA (293 nucleotides) under Prevotella sp. RNAcentral's name for it is "partial 23S ribosomal RNA". It matches the Rfam family "Bacterial large subunit ribosomal RNA", at positions 2620 to 2925 of the family's 2925-position model. The record is from RNAcentral. Lineage: Bacteria; Pseudomonadati; Bacteroidota; Bacteroidia; Bacteroidales; Prevotellaceae.